Molecule: ribosomal RNA, 416 nt
Filed under: bacterium fme08x96np522
Lineage: Bacteria
Description: bacterial SSU rRNA
Rfam family: Bacterial small subunit ribosomal RNA
Source: RNAcentral
GCUACACAUGCAGUCGAGCGGAACGACAACAUUGAAUCUUCGGAGGAUUUGUUGGGCGUCGAGCGGCGGACGGGUGAGUAAUGCCUAGGAAAUUGCCUUGAUGUGGGGGAUAACCAUUGGAAACGAUGGCUAAUACCGCAUAAUGCCUACGGGCCAAAGAGGGGGAUCUUCGGACCUCUCGCGUCNAGAUAUGCCUAGGUGGGAUUAGCUAGUUGGUGAGGUAAUGGCUCACCAAGGCGACGAUCCCUAGCUGGUCUGAGAGGAUGAUCAGCCACACUGGAACUGAGACACGGUCCAGACUCCNACGGGAGGCAGCNGUGGGGAAUAUUGCACAAUGGGCGAAAGCCUGAUGCAGCCAUGCCGCGUGUAUNAGAAGGCCUUCGGGUUGUAAAGUACUUUCAGUUGUGAGGAAGGGG